AUGAGGUACUGGUGAAAUUCUAAGGAGACAUCCCCUGUAACCCCUUGGGAGGGGAAGAAGAAAUAAGGAUUAAUCCUCUACUGCCCAGGCAGAGUCAUAAAUGCAGUUUUACAACAGUGGUGAUAACAGACCAAAACAGCAUCCUGUCAGAUGCUUCACUUCGUGGUUGGUUCCAUUGUUACACAUUUUCAUUCCGGCUUUUGAAAACCCAGCAACAAAUGGAUACAGAUUUUACCAUUCAUCCAGCCUGUAGCCUCCAGUCCAAGGCAUUAUUAAAUGUUGUUCAAAUGUUUUCAGAAAUUAAUUGCCUGUACCACAAUGAUUUAUAG
This 329-nucleotide long non-coding RNA is filed under the name Athene cunicularia (burrowing owl). RNAcentral describes it as "lncRNA (ENSACUG00000007219.1)". Lineage: Eukaryota; Metazoa; Chordata; Aves; Strigiformes; Strigidae. The record is from RNAcentral.